RNAcentral lists this unclassified non-coding RNA (225 nucleotides) under Hevea brasiliensis (rubber tree). Lineage: Eukaryota; Viridiplantae; Streptophyta; Magnoliopsida; Malpighiales; Euphorbiaceae. The record is from RNAcentral.
AGGAGAUGGAGGAUUUGUGGCAAAAAAUGGUCUUUCCGGUUAGACGUGUUUGGGGUGCUGUUUCUGCUCGUGUCAAGCCUCGUAAAGAUGGUGCUGGAUUACUGAAGCUUCAAGGCGAUAUACAGUCCUGUGGAUAUGAGGAUGUACAGGUGAUGUGGGAAAUGCUUGGAGGGACGGAUUCAGAGUUGACAUCUCGGCACAUCAAGCGUAAAGCGCCAACGGUUG